Molecule: ribosomal RNA, 314 nt
Filed under: uncultured bacterium
Lineage: Bacteria
Description: partial 16S ribosomal RNA
Rfam family: Bacterial small subunit ribosomal RNA
Source: RNAcentral
GUAUAAGAGACAGCAGUAGCCACGGUAAUACAGAGGGUGCGAGCGUUAAUCGGAUUUACUGGGCGUAAAGCGUGCGUAGGCGGCUUUUUAAGUCGGAUGUGAAAUCCCUGAGCUUAACUUAGGAAUUGCAUUCGAUACUGGGAAGCUAGAGUAUGGGAGAGGACGGUAGAAUUCCAGGUGUAGCGGUGAAAUGCGUAGAGAUCUGGAGGAAUACCGAUGGCGAAGGCAGCCAUCUGGCCUAAUACUGACGCUGAGGUACGAAAGCAUGGGGAGCAAACAGGAUUAGAUACCCCAGUAGUCCCUGUCUCUUAUAC